AAGUCGUAACAAGGUUUCCGUAGGUGAACCUGCGGAAGGAUCAUUACCAAGAACCACACAGAAAAGGGAGGCAAAGGGGCCUACAGGGCUAGUAGCUUAUACGUUGUUGAACGUCCUGCCUGGACCCGGAGCCGCCCCCAUCUAAACCCUCUGCGUACCUGUCCCUUCUUGCUUCCCCCGGCAUCUCGUCGGGGGGAGGUAACAACCAAAACUCUCUGUGAAUCAAACAGCCGUCAGAAUUAUAAAACAAACAAAAGUUAAAACUUUCAACAACGGAUCUCUUGGUUCCCACAUCGAUGAAGAACGCAGCGAAAUGCGAUAAGUAAUGUGAAUUGCAGAAUUCAGUGAAUCAUCGAAUCUUUGAACGCACAUUGCGCCCCCUGGUAUUCCGGGGGGCAUGCCUGUUCGAGCGUCAUAAAAACCUCCUCCCCCUUCGGGUUUUGUUACUAUCGUUGGGGGGUUUUGGCCUAGUGNNAUAGCGAUUGGCAAUUCGUUUCCCAAUGUCCUAAAUAGACGUAGACCCGCCUCCAGAUGCGACAGCACCGAGGCCAUCAACCGUGGAGUUAUGGGAUAUAAUAGGCUUGCAGUAAANUGCUCACNUCUCUCCACACGCCGAUGGCACGACAGUUGCAGUUGCGGGCGUAAAUUGNAGCCCUUUUCAGGACCCUUGUGGCCUAGCAUCNACCAUACAUAGUUUGACUCGGAUCAGGUAGGGAUACCCGCUGANCUUAAGCAUAUCAAUAAGCGGAGGAAAAGAAACCANCAGGGAUUGCCUCAGUANCGGCGAGUGAAGCGNCAAAAGCUCAAAUUUUAAAGCUGACAUCUNCGGUGUCCGCGUUGUAAUUUUGUGAGGCAUCUCCGGGUAGGGCGNCGGCCUAAGUUCCUUGGAACAGGACGUCACAGAGGGUGAGAAUCCCGUGCUUGGCUGGCUGUCCCCGUCCAUGUGAGGUNUCUUCGACGAGUCGAGUUGUUUGGGAAUGCAGCUCAAAAUGGGUGGUAAAUUUCAUCUAAAGCUAAAUAUUGGUGGGAGACCGAUAGCGCACAAGUAGAGUGAUCGAAAGAUGAAAAGCACUUUGAAAAUAGAGUUAAAAAGUACGUGAAAUUGUUGAAAGGGAAGCGCUUGAGACCAGACUUCGGUAAGGGGUGAUCAGCCGUCCUUUUGGGCGGUGCACUUGCCCCCCUCCGGGCCAGCAUCGGUUGAGGCGGCGGGAUAAAGGUCCCGGGAAUGUGGCUCCUUCACGGGAGUGUUAUAGCCCGGGUGAAUGCCGCCAGCUUCGACCGAGGACCGCACCCGCAAGGGUUAGGAUGCUUGGCAUAAUGGUCUUCAGCGACCCGUCUUGAAACACGGACC
Molecule: ribosomal RNA, 1351 nt
Filed under: uncultured fungus
Lineage: Eukaryota; Fungi
Description: eukaryotic LSU rRNA
Rfam family: Eukaryotic large subunit ribosomal RNA (bases 696-1351)
Source: RNAcentral